Molecule: ribosomal RNA, 292 nt
Filed under: uncultured bacterium
Lineage: Bacteria
Description: partial 16S ribosomal RNA
Rfam family: Bacterial small subunit ribosomal RNA
Source: RNAcentral
GUGCCAGCCGCCGCGGUAAUACGGAGGGGGCUAGCGUUGUUCGGAUUGACUGGGCGUAAAGCGCGCGUAGGCGGAUCGUCAAGUCGGGGGUGAAAUCCCGGGGCUCAACCCUGGAAUGGCCUUCGAGACUGGCGGUCUUGAGUUCGAGAGAGGUGGGUGGAAUUCCGAGUGUAGAGGUGAAAUUCGUAGAUAUUCGGAGGAACACCAGUGGCGAAGGCGGCCCACUGGCUCGACACUGACGCUGAGGCGCGAAAGCGUGGGGAGCAAACAGGAUUAGAUACCCCGGUAGUCC